Molecule: non-coding RNA, 117 nt
Filed under: Nomascus leucogenys (northern white-cheeked gibbon)
Lineage: Eukaryota; Metazoa; Chordata; Mammalia; Primates; Hylobatidae
Source: Rfam by way of RNAcentral
GCCGGGUGUGGUGGCUCACGCCUGUAAUUCUAGCACUUAGGGAGGCCGAGGCAGGUGGAUCACCUGAGGUCAGGAGUUCAAGACCAGCCUGACCAACAUGGUGAAACCCUGUCUCUA